CGUGUCGUGAGAUGUUCGGUUAAGUCCGGCAACGAGCCGCAACCCACAUCCCUAGUUGCCAGCAGUUCGGCUGGGCACUCUAUGGAAACUGCCCGUGAUAAGCGGGAGGAAGGUGUGGAUGACGUCAAGUCCUCAUGGCCCUUACGGGUUGGGCUACACACGUGCUACAAUGGUAGUGACAAUGGGUUAAUCCCCAAAAACUAUCUCAGUUCGGAUUGUCGUCUGCAACUCGACGGCAUGAAGUCGGAAUCGCUAGUAAUCGCAGGUCAGAAUACUGCGGUGAAUACGUUCCCGGGCCUU
Molecule: ribosomal RNA, 300 nt
Filed under: uncultured bacterium
Lineage: Bacteria
Description: bacterial SSU rRNA
Rfam family: Bacterial small subunit ribosomal RNA
Source: RNAcentral